AAGUCGUAACAAGGUAACCGUAGGUGAACCUGCGGUUGGAUCAUUAAUAAAUUUAUAAAGGUAAAAGGGUCUUUACGGACCUUUUUACUCUUUAACAAAUUUGUGAACUUUAUUAAAGUCUUUUGGGAUGAUAGCAAUGUUAUCCCAAAAACCCCCUUUAAACAAUUUUUUAUAUAACAAGUCUUUAAAAACCUUUAAAUUUAAUUUAAAAAACAACUUUUGACAACGGAUCUCUUGGCUCUC
Molecule: unclassified non-coding RNA, 243 nt
Filed under: fungal sp.
Lineage: Eukaryota; Fungi
Description: partial internal transcribed spacer region
Rfam family: Eukaryotic small subunit ribosomal RNA (bases 1-46)
Source: RNAcentral